RNAcentral lists this small nuclear RNA (102 nucleotides) under Dasypus novemcinctus (nine-banded armadillo). The record is from RNAcentral. Lineage: Eukaryota; Metazoa; Chordata; Mammalia; Cingulata; Dasypodidae.
GCACUUUGGCAGCACAUAUACUAAAACUGGAAUGAUGCAGAGAAGAUUAGCUGGGCCCUGUGCAAGGAUGACACUCUAAUUCAUGAAACAUUCCAUCUUUUU